AUUGAACGCUGGCGGCAUGCUUUACACAUGCAAGUCGAACGGCAGCACGGGGGCAGCCCUGGUGGCGAGUGGCGAACGGGUGAGUAAUACAUCGGAACGUGCCCGGUCGUGGGGGAUAACGUAGCGAAAGUUACGCUAAUACCGCAUACGAUCUGAGGAUGAAAGCGGGGGACCUUCGGGCCUCGCGCGAUCGGAGCGGCCGAUGUCAGAUUAGGUAGUUGGUGGGGUAAAGGCCUACCAAGCCGACGAUCUGUAGCUGGUCUGAGAGGACGACCAGCCACACUGGGACUGAGACACGGCCCAGACUCCUACGGGAGGCAGCAGUGGGGAAUUUUGGACAAUGGGCGCAAGCCUGAUCCAGCCAUGCCGCGUGCAGGACGAAGGCCUUCGGGUUGUAAACUGCUUUUGUACGGAACGAAAAGGCUCUGGCUAAUACCUGGGGCUCAUGACGGUACCGUAAGAAUAAGCACCGGCUAACUACGUG
This 484-nucleotide ribosomal RNA is filed under the name uncultured bacterium. Its description in RNAcentral is "partial 16S ribosomal RNA". It matches the Rfam family "Bacterial small subunit ribosomal RNA", at positions 29 to 507 of the family's 1533-position model. The record is from RNAcentral.